CACUUUGGAAGGAGGAUUUGGGCAUGGUCCAGUUAGAUAGGGAAGGGGUUUGGUAGCAUGGAUUCACUUGUCGGACUCCUGAAAGCUGUGCCAUAAGCUUGCUACGAGGGGGUUUUCAUGCCAAUUUCUCCUCGCCGAUUUCAAGAUCUUCGUGCACCUGAGCAUUGAUUGGGCACGCUCACAUGAAGCAUUUUACGCGCAGUGAGGGAAAUGCAUCAGUAUAGUACAGUAUUUUUGAAUUAUUUCAAAAAACGUUGUCAACACUAGUAAUAGCACUCGACUCGUCUCGAAUCGAUUGAAGGAUUACUUAUUAGUGGUGUCGAGUCUGAAGCCCGAGCCAAUGCUGUAGUUGCUGAAGCCCCAUCCUAUGGAAUACUACCAACUCCCCGGCACAAGUCUGUGAUGCCGUACUGCACUGCAGACGCGUGCUCGACCCCGUUGGAAAUGUACGCAACAGUGCCCACCCUCCUGACCAGGGAUCGCACAAACCCUGCGUUUUGUCGGGUCUGUUCGACUCCUGGCUCUUGACCUUUGGUCGGUGUACGAGAUGCACGAACAGUUUUCGUAGGCUGCGCAAGGAAUUCAAACUGACGCACUGUCACUAUCAACGUUAUCAUUGCUGAGAUCAUCACUCGUACAUGCAGCUGAUCCAUCACUAUCGGACACACGAGUCGUCACAAUCUGAGUUUGGCUGGGCAUGAUUGGACUCAGUUUCCAGUUGCGAUACGUCACCGGACGUACUUUGCUGUGGUGGUUGCUCUGGCCUACUGUUGAGCGGACUUGCGCAUGUACCUUCGCAGCGGCAGAUGUCAGUGCACGCAAGAGAUGACUUCUUGCAUGAGCAGCGUUGAGUGUCACACACUCCUCGGCACCCGCAGCUGAUGAGGCUCUGAAGUUCUUUUGGCACUGCCUGCUGUUCUGUCCAAUUCACAGCAACUCUGCCUGAAGGAAGAAACAAACAUUGUCACAGAC
Sycon ciliatum is the source of this 972-nucleotide long non-coding RNA. RefSeq lists it as uncharacterized. Lineage: Eukaryota; Metazoa; Porifera; Calcarea; Leucosolenida; Sycettidae. The transcript has 3 exons. The record is from RefSeq and is a predicted model, not a curated record.